Molecule: unclassified non-coding RNA, 1196 nt
Filed under: Hevea brasiliensis (rubber tree)
Lineage: Eukaryota; Viridiplantae; Streptophyta; Magnoliopsida; Malpighiales; Euphorbiaceae
Source: RNAcentral
AGCAAGGCAAACUGUAUUCAUAAAAUUUAGCUAGAGUAUUAUGAAAAAUACAUUCAAGAAAAACUAAUCCCUUGUUCUCAUGAACAUCAAUUUCUGAAACAAGGAAACUGGAAAAAACAAAAAGAAGAAAACUAGAACCAGGCUAUAUGAUUAUAUCAGGAUCAACCUUAACAUACAUCAUAAUCACAGAUCUAAUUUUGACCUUUGUUUUGCCAAUCUUGGCGAAGUCCUAACACAAUUCCCAGAACUGGACCCAUUCUCCCCAUCACUUUUGCCCUUCUUUCCACCCUUCAAUUUCUUCACCCCAAAAUCCUCUCUAUUCAACUCCUCAACCACCUUCAUCACCGCAUCACCCACAACACCGGUACCGCCUUUCUCCAACCCCCUUCUCCUUGUACUUACCCUGACCGCAUCACUAGUCUUUCCAAUCUUAUUCACAUCAUUCUCCUUCGCCACCUUUUCGAAGUCCCCCACAAGCUUUCUCACCGGCUUCUUCUUACCAGCUGCCCCCACCUUCUCCGUAACCUGUUGUUCUUCCUCUUCGCUAUCCUCGUCAAACAAAUCCAUAAAUCUCCUUCUUUUUGUCACCAUAGGAGCCGGAGGCGGAGAAUCAGAGCCAACCCUCUUCCUGUUGUUCUCGUUCUUACCUUUAACCCCACUUGGUAGUGGACCUCUUGAGACUUUGGGGCUAUUACUGACUUGUAAUUUUGCUAGUUUCUCGCGGUGCUUACGGAGCUUGUUGACAUUGCCCUCGAUGCGGCCUUGAAGGCGGAGACGCUUGAAGCUAAGACCACCCAUAGACCAAUGAGCCUCCUCUGCCCAGGAGAGCAAGGGGUCCAUGACGGGCACAGGUGGGUCCACCCUAUCUGGAUUCAGCUUUACGUCGGUGUAGAUACGAGGGCGAGGGAGGCUACUGCCGUAGAACUUGCCGGGACCUAAAGAGACUACCAUGAUCGAUUAGGCUAACAGCAAGUAUAAGGGUGGGCUGAUUUUCCUGGGGGAAUUUCAACGAAUGGUUGGUGGUUUUCUUGUUAGUCUUUUGGGUUAUAAACAGAGAGCAGUAGGUGGCGCGGGGAACCUUGGCGGGAGGACUUGGCGCCAAAAAGUUGGCGCCAUGGAUUUUUGGGAUUUGAAAAUUGGGCUCUUUUGAGUCGUAUAUAAAAGUGAGGGAGGAUUUUUCAGUGAAUUUGGCGGCA